AUACCCGGCGGGGAAUCGGACCCCGGUCUCCCGCGUGGCAGGCGGGGGUACUGACCACUAUACUACGGAGGA
RNAcentral lists this transfer RNA (72 nucleotides) under Araneus ventricosus. Its description in RNAcentral is "tRNA-Gly". The record is from RNAcentral. Lineage: Eukaryota; Metazoa; Arthropoda; Arachnida; Araneae; Araneidae.